Molecule: unclassified non-coding RNA, 305 nt
Filed under: plant metagenome
Description: partial contains 5.8S ribosomal RNA, internal transcribed spacer 2, and large subunit ribosomal RNA
Rfam family: 5.8S ribosomal RNA (bases 1-105)
Source: RNAcentral
GAAAUGCGAUAAGUAAUGUGAAUUGCAGAAUUCAGUGAAUCAUCGAAUCUUUGAACGCACAUUGCGCCCGCCAGUAUUCUGGCGGGCAUGCCUGUUCGAGCGUCAUUUCAACCAUCAAGCCCCCGGCUUGUGUUGGGGACCUGCGGCUGCCCGCAGGCCCUGAAAAACAGUGGCGGGCUCGCUGUCACACCGAGCGUAGUAGCAUACAUUCUCGCUCAGGGCGUGCUGCGGGUUCCGGCCGUUAAACGACCUUCAUAACCCAGGGUUGACCUCGGAUCAGGUAGGAAGACCCGCUGAACUUAAGC